RNAcentral lists this ribosomal RNA (864 nucleotides) under Psychrobacter alimentarius. Its description in RNAcentral is "bacterial SSU rRNA". It matches the Rfam family "Bacterial small subunit ribosomal RNA", at positions 55 to 911 of the family's 1533-position model. Lineage: Bacteria; Pseudomonadati; Pseudomonadota; Gammaproteobacteria; Moraxellales; Moraxellaceae. The record is from RNAcentral.
AUGCAAGUCGAGCGGUAACAUUUCUAGCUUGCUAGAAGAUGACGAGCGGCGGACGGGUGAGUAAUACUUAGGAAUCUACCUAGUAGUGGGGGAUAGCUCGGGGAAACUCGAAUUAAUACCGCAUACGACCUACGGGAGAAAGGGGGCAACUUGUUGCUCUCGCUAUUAGAUGAGCCUAAGUCGGAUUAGCUAGAUGGUGGGGUAAAGGCCUACCAUGGCGACGAUCUGUAGCUGGUCUGAGAGGAUGAUCAGCCACACCGGGACUGAGACACGGCCCGGACUCCUACGGGAGGCAGCAGUGGGGAAUAUUGGACAAUGGGGGAAACCCUGAUCCAGCCAUGCCGCGUGUGUGAAGAAGGCCUUUUGGUUGUAAAGCACUUUAAGCAGUGAAGAAGACUCUUCGGUUAAUACCCGGAGACGAUGACAUUAGCUGCAGAAUAAGCACCGGCUAACUCUGUGCCAGCAGCCGCGGUAAUACAGAGGGUGCAAGCGUUAAUCGGAAUUACUGGGCGUAAAGCGAGCGUAGGUGGCUUGAUAAGUCAGAUGUGAAAUCCCCGGGCUUAACCUGGGAACUGCAUCUGAUACUGUCAGGCUAGAGUAGGUGAGAGGAAGGUAGAAUUCCAGGUGUAGCGGUGAAAUGCGUAGAGAUCUGGAGGAAUACCGAUGGCGAAGGCAGCCUUCUGGCAUCAUACUGACACUGAGGCUCGAAAGCGUGGGUAGCAAACAGGAUUAGAUACCCUGGUAGUCCACGCCGUAAACGAUGUCUACUACGUCGUUGGGUCCCUUGAGGACUUAGUGACGCAGCUAACGCACUAAGUAGACCGCCUGGGGAGUACGGCCGCAAGGUUAAAACUCAAAUGAAUU